UUUGGUGGCGAUAGCGAAGAGGUCACACCCGUUCCCAUGCCGAACACGGAAGUUAAGCUCUUCAGCGCCGAUGGUAGUCGGGGGUUUCCCCCUGUGAGAGUAGGACGCCGCCUAGC
Molecule: ribosomal RNA, 116 nt
Filed under: Bacillus halotolerans
Lineage: Bacteria; Bacillati; Bacillota; Bacilli; Caryophanales; Bacillaceae
Source: RNAcentral